Long non-coding RNA from Lycium ferocissimum, 693 nucleotides. RefSeq lists it as uncharacterized. Lineage: Eukaryota; Viridiplantae; Streptophyta; Magnoliopsida; Solanales; Solanaceae. The record is from RefSeq and is a predicted model, not a curated record. The transcript has 2 exons.
UUUAUGCAUGAGAAGCAUUAUUUCUUGCAAAAACUCAACAAUGCCCAUCCUUACCCGUUCCCUGUCCAUUAUUCUACUAAUAAGUGCUUCUCAUUAUAUUCUUCUUUGUUCUGUAUCCAAUUCAAGUAGGUGUUAUGAAGGGAAGAUGUUAUAUGAAAGGUGGGGUUAUUUCACCGCGUGAUCUUGCUAAGAUCGGUGGCCUUUCAUUAGAUGAACAGGUGUAAUCCACAUUGACGAUGGAAGCAACUGCUUGACACGAAAGCUAAUGUCGUUCAGGUGGAAAAUGGUCCAGGUUCCAAAGGGAAAAAACUGUAACAAGUUUACCACCAUGGAAUCAAUUCCCUCAUAAUGCAUAAUGUUUUGUCUCCGCUCUAAGGAGGACUACAGGAGCUACCAUGAUGCUUGGCCAAUGCGCAUCGGAAGUGCUCUGAUGUUCCUUAUGACAAGUAUGCUUCCUUUUCAUGCUUAAUUUCCUUAAAACUGAGUAUGUUUUACAUAUGUAGGCUGUUAUUGUUAAUUUAUUGUUCAUAUUCAAAAGGAGAUUUCCUCUAAUUAAUCAAUCUGACUUUCAUAAUGGAAAACUGUAAUUAGGAGUCGGUUACUAGUGGAACAAGAGGGGAAAUAUCGGUCUCCUGUUAAAAUUUUUUGGAUGUGUUUAGCUCAUACACAAAUUACUUACCUACUUCAAUCAUC